GGAUCGCAAGACCUUGCGCUCAUUGAGCGGCCGAUGCCUGAUUAGCUAGUUGGUGAGGUAAAGGCUUACCAAGGCGACGAUCAGUAGCUGGUCUGAGAGGACGACCAGCCACACUGGGACUGAGACACGGCCCAGACUCCUACGGGAGGCAGCAGUGGGGAAUUUUGGACAAUGGGGGAAACCCUGAUCCAGCCAUGCCGCGUGAGUGAAGAAGGCCUUCGGGUUGUAAAGCUCUUUCAGCCGGAACGAAACGGUCACGGCUAAUAUUCGUGACUACUGACGGUACCGGAAGAAGAAGCACCGGCUAACUACGUGCCAGCAGCCGCGGUAAUACGUAGGGUGCAAGCGUUAAUCGGAAUUACUGGGCGUAAAGCGUGCGCAGGCGGUUUUGUAAGUCAGAUGUGAAAUCCCCGGGCUUAACCUGGGAACUGCGUUUGAAACUAC
RNAcentral lists this ribosomal RNA (444 nucleotides) under uncultured beta proteobacterium. Its description in RNAcentral is "bacterial SSU rRNA". It matches the Rfam family "Bacterial small subunit ribosomal RNA", at positions 201 to 636 of the family's 1533-position model. The record is from RNAcentral. Lineage: Bacteria; Pseudomonadati; Pseudomonadota; Betaproteobacteria.